RNAcentral lists this ribosomal RNA (465 nucleotides) under uncultured bacterium. RNAcentral describes it as "partial 16S ribosomal RNA". It matches the Rfam family "Bacterial small subunit ribosomal RNA", at positions 338 to 795 of the family's 1533-position model. The record is from RNAcentral.
CCUACGGGUGGCAGCAGUAGGGAAUCUUCCACAAUGGACGAGAGUCUGAUGCAGCAACGCAGCGUGAGUGAUGACUGGUCUCUGGUUGUAAAGCUUUGUUGGUAUGGAAGAAAGAUAGAGUAUGUAAAUGGUCUUGUUUUGACGGUAAUAAUAUAGAACGUCUCGGCUAACUACGUGACAGCAGCUGCGGUAGUACGUAGGUGGCUAGUGUUGUCCGGAUUUAUUGGGUGUAAAGGGAGUGUAGGUGGUUUGUUAAGUCUGAUGUGAAAGGUUGCGGCUCAACCGUAGAAUUGCAUUUGAAACUGUUAGACUUGAGUGCAGUAGAGGUGAGCGGAACUCGUGGUGUAGCGGUGGAAUGCGUAGAUAUCAGGAAGAACACCAGUGGCGAAGGCAGCUCACUGGACUGCAACUGACGCUGAGGCUCGAAAGUGUGGGUAGCAAACAGGAUUAGAUACCCCAGUAGUC